AAGGUUUUAAGUUAAGUUAAAACUAGUAUCCUUCAAAGCUAUAAAUAAAGAAGACUAAUCUUUAGACCUUA
Molecule: transfer RNA, 71 nt
Filed under: Perisphaerus sp. 2 ZQW-2023b
Lineage: Eukaryota; Metazoa; Arthropoda; Insecta; Blattodea; Blaberidae
Description: tRNA-Trp
Source: RNAcentral